GAUGAACGCUGGCGGCGUGCCUAAUACAUGCAAGUCGAGCGAACAGAUGAGGAGCUUGCUCCUCUGACGUUAGCGGCGGACGGGUGAGUAACACGUGGAUAACCUACCUAUAAGACUGGGAUAACUUCGGGAAACCGGAGCUAAUACCGGAUAAUAUAUUGAACCGCAUGGUUCAAUAGUGAAAGACGGUUUUGCUGUCACUUAUAGAUGGAUCCGCGCCGCAUUAGCUAGUUGGUAAGGUAACGGCUUACCAAGGCGACGAUGCGUAGCCGACCUGAGAGGGUGAUCGGCCACACGGGAACUGGAACACGGACCAGACUCCUACGGGAGGCAGCAGUAGGGAAUCUUCCGCAAUGGGCGAAAGCCUGACGGAGCAACGCCGCGUGAGUGAUGAAGGUCUUCGGAUCGUAAAACUCUGUUAUUAGGGAAGAACAAAUGUGUAAGUAACUAUGCACGUCUUGACGGUACCUAAUCAGAAAGCCACGGCUAACUACGUG
Molecule: ribosomal RNA, 497 nt
Filed under: uncultured bacterium
Lineage: Bacteria
Description: partial 16S ribosomal RNA
Rfam family: Bacterial small subunit ribosomal RNA
Source: RNAcentral